Daphnia magna is the source of this 627-nucleotide long non-coding RNA. RefSeq lists it as uncharacterized. The record is from RefSeq and is a predicted model, not a curated record. The transcript is spliced from 3 exons. NCBI's taxonomy places the organism in Eukaryota, Metazoa, Arthropoda, Branchiopoda, Diplostraca, Daphniidae.
UUUCGAACCAGAGGUGUGCACGAACAACGUUAUUCGCGAAUAUUUGCAAAUAAUUCAAACAAUUAUUUGUUUGCGGCUAUUUUUUACGGAGUAAUUAUUCGGUAAUUAUUCGUGAACAAUUUCGAACAAUUUACAAACAAAAUCAAACAAUUUUUCGAAUUUUGACAGUUGAAUUCGGUUGAAAUAUCGAUUGAAUUACCGAAAUUGGUACAACUUCUUUGUCGUCAGAAAUAGUCAAACUUGUUUAAUUUUAUAGUUUCAGUUCAGAGUUUCAGACUUUCAGUACGUAAUGCUCAUUGAGACGGCGUGGUCGUGACUACCACACAUAUUAUUCGUGAGACAGCACGAGAAACUAAGUGCUAGAACGCUAGAAGUGUGCUGCUAAAGGUGGCACAAUUCAUUAGUUGCCUUGACUGAGGCCUAUUGUUUGCUAGCAGGUGUUAGUCAAGUGCCAUUUACCACCUAAUAACCACACUGCAGGUGGCACGAUUCACUAGUUGCCUUGACUGAGACCUAUUGUUUGCUAGCAGGUGUUAGGCAGGUGCCAUUUACCACCUAAUAACCACACUGCAGAUAAAGUUUUGCUUUGUUUUACAAAUGUGAAGUAACAUAGUACAUGUUCAUUUG